GGGGGGGGGGGGGGGGGGGGGUGGGGGGGGGGGGGCGGACGGGGGGGGCCGGGGUGGGGGGGGGGCGGGGGGGGCGGGCGGGUGCGGCGCGCGUGAGGGACCGGCGCUUGGCGUGGGGGUAGCUUGAGGAAACUGGUGCUAAUGCCGGGUAGUAGCUCCUGCUGCGUGGCGGGGGUUGUGGAUUGUCGGCGGUUGGGGAUGGACUCGCGGCUGACCAGCUUGUUGGUGGGGUAGUGGCGUACCAAGGCUUUGACGGCUAGCCGGCCUGAGAGGGGGACCGGACACAUUGGGACUGAGAUACGGACCAGACUCCUACGGGAGGCAGCAGUGGGGAAUAUUGCACAAUGGGCGGAAGCCUGAUGCAGCAACGCCGCGUGCGGGAUGACGGCCUGCGGGUUGUAAACCGCUUUCGCCUGUGACGAAGCGUGAGUGACGGUAAUGGGUAAAGAAGCACCGGCUAACUACGUG
RNAcentral lists this ribosomal RNA (468 nucleotides) under uncultured bacterium. RNAcentral describes it as "partial 16S ribosomal RNA". The stretch from base 65 to 468 matches the Rfam family "Bacterial small subunit ribosomal RNA", at positions 39 to 507 of the family's 1533-position model. The record is from RNAcentral.